CCUACGGGACGCAGCAGUGAGGAAUAUUGGUCAAUGGGCGGGAGCCUGAACCAGCCAAGUCGCGUGAGGGAAGAAGGCACUGAGUAUUGUAAACCUCUUUUGCCAGGGGACAAAGGCGGCCACGGGUGGCCGUAAGAGGGUACCUGGAGAAAAAGCAUCGGCUAACCCCGUGCCAGCAGCCGCGGUAAUACGGAGGAUGCGAGCGUUAUCCGGAUUUUUUGGGGUUAAAGGGUGCGUAGGCGGGCUGCCAAGU
This 253-nucleotide ribosomal RNA is filed under the name uncultured bacterium. Its description in RNAcentral is "partial 16S ribosomal RNA". It matches the Rfam family "Bacterial small subunit ribosomal RNA", at positions 338 to 588 of the family's 1533-position model. The record is from RNAcentral.